GAAUCCGUGCCCAACAAUGGCGGCGUCCUGGAUCGAGGGGUCAAGCCAAGUCUCCGUGAAAACCAUAACGUUACAGUUCUUCAUGUCCCGUUGAAAUGCCAUCCUGCUUCGGAGUUCAUCCAGCUUAUUAUCCAGGGAUUGGACAUUUGCCAGAAGUGAGCUCGGUAGAGGAGGCCGGUUUUCGCGUUUCCUCAGCCUGACUAGGACCCCGGGCCGGGAUCCUCGCCGUCUUUGUCCCCAGGUAAAGCGCCAACAGGGCUCGCUUGGGAGGAUUGCAUGCUGCAAAAAAGUUUCAAUUAAAGAGAAAAAGUACAACAGAACGACACUAGAAGUGAGAAGCUGAAAGCCAGUGUCCCCACUGUAAUGGCAACCUGAAGACGUCUGUCCAUCACAGUGCCAAGAUCCCCAACAGAUACUCAUCGUUGCAGUAUGCCCAGCAGUGGUGAGGAAGAGGAGGGAGGUUGCAGUUGUCUGAUAACCUCACUGGAUUACAGGAGUGAAAAGCAGCUCAGUAUGAGGUUUUGUUUAAUGUAGUGACACUACAAUAAACCUAUGUCAUCUCUAACAAA
Non-coding RNA from Paralichthys olivaceus (Japanese flounder), 569 nucleotides. The record is from RefSeq and is a predicted model, not a curated record. Lineage: Eukaryota; Metazoa; Chordata; Actinopteri; Pleuronectiformes; Paralichthyidae.